This 419-nucleotide long non-coding RNA is filed under the name Phaseolus vulgaris (common bean). RNAcentral's name for it is "long non-coding RNA (PVUL_LNC004186)". Lineage: Eukaryota; Viridiplantae; Streptophyta; Magnoliopsida; Fabales; Fabaceae. The record is from RNAcentral.
UCGACACUUGGAGUUACAGAUCACUUUGAAGUUCCAGGAGUGAUCCUUGUCGGGUCUGCUUCUAUUGAUGAAAAGGAAAACGUAGAAGCUACCUUAGCCAAUGAAGAAGAAGCUACCUUAGCCAAUGAAGCAAGCGCCAGAGGUACCUUAGCCAAUGAAGCAAGCGCCGAAGCUGCCUUAGCCAAUGAAGAAGAAGAAGCUACCUUAGCCAAUGAAGCAAGCGCUGAAGCUACCUUAGCCAAUGAAGCAAGUGCUGAAGCUACCUUAGCCAAUGAAGCAAGGGCUGAAGCUACCUUAGCCAAUGAAGCAAGCUCUGAAGCUACAGUAACCAAUGAAGCAAGCGCUGAAGCUAAAAUAUGCAUUGAAGUAAGCUCUGAAGGUAAAAGAGCCAAUGAAGCAAGCUCAGAAGCUAAAAUAGC